RNAcentral lists this ribosomal RNA (565 nucleotides) under uncultured Desulfovibrio sp. RNAcentral's name for it is "bacterial SSU rRNA". It matches the Rfam family "Bacterial small subunit ribosomal RNA", at positions 42 to 590 of the family's 1533-position model. Lineage: Bacteria; Pseudomonadati; Thermodesulfobacteriota; Desulfovibrionia; Desulfovibrionales; Desulfovibrionaceae. The record is from RNAcentral.
GCGUGCUUAACACAUGCAAGUCGAACGCGAAAGGGACUUCGGUCCUGAGUAAAGUGGCGCACGGGUGAGUAACGCGUGGAUAAUCUGCCCUUAUGAUUGGAAUAACAGUUGGAAACGGCUGCUAAUACCGGAUACGCUCAAAAUGAACUUUUUGAGGAAAGAUGACCUCUGCUUGCAAGUUAUCGCAUAAGGAUGAGUCCGCGUCCCAUUAGCUAGUUGGUGGGGUAAUGGCCCACCAAGGCUUCGAUGGGUAGCCGAUUUGAGAGGAUGAUCGGCCACACUGGAACUGAAACACGGUCCAGACUCCUACGGGAGGCAGCAGUGGGGAAUAUUGCGCAAUGGGCGAAAGCCUGACGCAGCGACGCCGCGUGAGGGAUGAAGGUUUUCGGAUCGUAAACCUCUGUCAGAAGGGAAGAAACUGUGCUGUGCUAAUCAGCAGUGCAUUGACGGUACCUUCAAAGGAAGCACCGGCUAACUCCGUGCCAGCAGCCGCGGUAAUACGGAGGGUGCAAGCGUUAGUCGGAAUUACUGGGCGUAAAGCGCACGUAGGCUGUUGUGUAAGUCA